GAUGAAGAACGCAGUGAAAUGCGAUACGUAAUGUGAAUUGCAGAAUUCAGUGAAUCAUCGAAUCUUUGAACGCACAUUGCGCCCCCUGGUAUUCCGGGGGGCAUGCCUGUUCGAGCGUCAUUACAACCCUCAAGCUCUGCUUGGUAUUGGGCCCCGCCAGUUCUGGCGGGCCCUAAAGUCAGUGGCGGUGCCUUCCGGCUCCGAGCGUAGUAAUUCUUCUCGCUCUGGAGACCCGGUUGUGUGCUUGCCAACAACCCCCAAUUUUUUAAGGUUGACCUCGGAUCAGGUAGGGAUACCCGCUGAACUUAAGCAUAUCAAUAAGCGGAGGA
This 329-nucleotide unclassified non-coding RNA is filed under the name soil metagenome. RNAcentral's name for it is "partial contains 5.8S ribosomal RNA, internal transcribed spacer 2, and large subunit ribosomal RNA". The stretch from base 1 to 120 matches the Rfam family "5.8S ribosomal RNA", at positions 35 to 154 of the family's 154-position model. The record is from RNAcentral.